CGUUUGAGAUUUGAGAGGGGCUGCUCCUAGUACGAGAGGACCGGAGUGGACGAACCUCUGGUGUUCCGGUUGUCACGCCAGUGGCAUUGCCGGGUAGCUAUGUUCGGAAAAGAUAACCGCUGAAAGCAUCUAAGCGGGAAACUUGCCUCAAGAUGAGAUCUCACUGGGAACUUGAUUCCCCUGAAGGGCCGUCGAAGACUACGACGUUGAUAGGCUGGGUGUGUAAGCGUUGUGAGGCGUUGAGCUAACCAGUACUAAUUGCCCGUGAGGCUUGACCAU
RNAcentral lists this ribosomal RNA (279 nucleotides) under Campylobacter jejuni. Its description in RNAcentral is "partial 23S ribosomal RNA". It matches the Rfam family "Bacterial large subunit ribosomal RNA", at positions 2652 to 2925 of the family's 2925-position model. Lineage: Bacteria; Pseudomonadati; Campylobacterota; Epsilonproteobacteria; Campylobacterales; Campylobacteraceae. RNAcentral also lists the same sequence under 6 other names. The record is from RNAcentral.